Molecule: transfer RNA, 76 nt
Filed under: Methanomassiliicoccales archaeon
Lineage: Archaea; Methanobacteriati; Thermoplasmatota; Thermoplasmata; Methanomassiliicoccales
Also listed under: 2 other names
Description: tRNA-Val
Rfam family: tRNA
About the family: Transfer RNA (tRNA) molecules are approximately 80 nucleotides in length.
Source: RNAcentral
GGGCCCGUGGUCUAGUGGUUAUGACGCCACCCUUACAAGGUGGAGGUCGCCGGUUCAAUCCCGGCCGGGCCCACCA